This 495-nucleotide ribosomal RNA is filed under the name uncultured bacterium. RNAcentral's name for it is "SSU rRNA". It matches the Rfam family "Bacterial small subunit ribosomal RNA", at positions 26 to 521 of the family's 1533-position model. The record is from RNAcentral.
AGGACGAACGCUGGCGGCGUGCUUAACACAUGCAAGUGGAGCGACGAACCAGGGCUUGCCCUGGGGCAGAGCCGCGAACGGGUGAGUAACACGUGGGUUACCUGCCUUGAUGACCGGGACAACCCGAGGAAACUCGGGCUAAUACCGGAUGUGCCCGCAAGGGGAAAGGAAGCUUCGGCCUCCGCAUCAAGAUGGGCCCGCGGCCCAUUAGCUUGUUGGUGAGGUAACGGCUCACCAAGGCUUCGAUGGGUAGCUGGUCUGAGAGGACGAUCAGCCACACUGGGACUGAGACACGGCCCAGACUCCUACGGGAGGCAGCAGUGGGGAAUCUUGCGCAAUGCGCGAAAGCGUGACGCAGCAACGCCGCGUGGGGGAAGAAGGCUUUCGGGUUGUAAACCCCUUUCAGUUGGGACGAAGCUUCGACGGUGAAUAGCCGGACGGAGUGACGGUACCUUCACAAGAAGCACCGGCUAACUACGCGCCAGCAGCCGCGGU